RNAcentral lists this ribosomal RNA (1446 nucleotides) under Burkholderia mallei 2002721280. RNAcentral describes it as "16S ribosomal RNA". Lineage: Bacteria; Pseudomonadati; Pseudomonadota; Betaproteobacteria; Burkholderiales; Burkholderiaceae. The record is from RNAcentral.
CGCUGCGCCAUGUGUGCGCGUGCCAUGCGGCGUGCGCGCCCGCCAGCGCGUGCGCGAUGCCGGCCGGCGCGAACGCGUCGAGCCCGAGCUGCACGCCGAGCAGGUUCUGCGGAUCGAAAUCGAGCGCGACGACGGGCCGGCCGUCGCGCGCGAGCAGCGCCGCGAGCGCCGCCGUCAGCAUCGUGCGGCCCGCGCCGCCCGUCGUCGAAACGAUCGCGAUCGUCCUCAUCGCCCGUCCCGCCGUUCGCGCCGCGCGGCCGAGGGCAGCAACCGGGCAUGCAAUGCGACCGGCUCGAUCGCGCAGCGAACCGGGUCGCUGCGAUCGAAGCCGCUCGGCAACGGCAGCCCGCGGCCCGCGCCGCCGCGCGACGCGGCAAACCGGAUCGCCACGGCGAUCACGAUGCCGGCGAAAAAGCCGGCGAUCAUCAGCGAAAUCAUUCAGCCUCCCUGGGGCGCAACGGCAUCGCGUCGCGCGUGGCGGUGCGGGUGCGCACGCCGGCGACCGCGCCGGCGUCGUGCGGUCGGCGCGGUCGCGGCGCGCGCGGCGUCGCGGACAGCGGCGCGUGCGAUACGUUCGACGGCGCCUGCGGCGGCGGUACGACGAUCUGCGCCGAGGCGGGCGAUGUCCGCGAGGUCUGCGAUGCGGACGACAGCGCGAACGCCGAGCACCACGGUGGUCCGUGCGCCGCGGCGCGCGUGCCCGGCGGCGUCGGCGCGCCCGACACAUGCGGCGCAUGCGGCGGCACAUGCGGCGACAUAGGCUCGGCGGACGGUUCGCCGUCGCGCGCCGCCGCCGGAGCGCCGGCCGAGGCGCGCGCGCCGGCCGCGCGCGUCGCCACCGCCGCCGGCGAAAAGAGAUCGCUGUAAUCCGCGAUCGGCGCACGCCGGUUCGCCGCGUCGAGCGCAUUCAGCUCAUGCUCGAUGCUGUCCUGCGCGAGAUGCACGACGCGAUCCGAGAUCCGCUCGACAGGCACGUCGAAGAGGUGGCCGAGCACGUCGUUCGCAUCGGCGAGCUCGCAGGCGAACAGGAACAGAUACAGGUGCUGCGCGUCGGCGGUCAGCACGUCGCCCGCGCGGCGCGGCGUGCACGCGCGCAACGCGUGCGCGUGCGCGACGCCGGGCAGCAGCGUCAGCUUCACGAGCGUAUGCGACAGCGCGAGCACCGCGCUGCGCUCGAGCACCGCGCGCGCCUGCGAGCAGAACGCGCCGACGGGCAGAUAGCCGAGCGCCGUGUCGCCGAGCGACGCGGCGAGCGCGGCCCGAUAGUCGGCCGCGACCGGGCGCGCGUGCAACUGGCCCUGCAGCGAGCGCAGCACCGCGAGCACGCGCGAGAACGGCAGGUUGCGCGCGACGACCUGGUUCGCGCCGAGGUUCAGCGCGAGCAGCUCGAAUUGAUGGCGCAUCGCCUCGCCGCGCUCGACGACGACGAUCUUCAGCGCGCCGCCG